AGCUUUGCCCAGUGGCAGUAUCGUAGCCAAUGAGGUUUAUCUGUGGCACGAUUGUUGCUAAUUAAAAUGUUUUUAUUGAACUAUAAUUCACUUCAUAUACAGUUCACCCACUUGAAAUGAUUCAAUAAUUUUUUUGUAUGGUCAGACA
Neogale vison (American mink) is the source of this 148-nucleotide small nuclear RNA. Its record names the gene U4. It matches the Rfam family "U4 spliceosomal RNA". Rfam says of the family: U4 small nuclear RNA (U4 snRNA) is a component of the major U2-dependent spliceosome. Lineage: Eukaryota; Metazoa; Chordata; Mammalia; Carnivora; Mustelidae. The record is from Ensembl.